Molecule: ribosomal RNA, 626 nt
Filed under: Hymenochaete spathulata
Lineage: Eukaryota; Fungi; Basidiomycota; Agaricomycetes; Hymenochaetales; Hymenochaetaceae
Description: SSU rRNA
Rfam family: Bacterial small subunit ribosomal RNA
Source: RNAcentral
CCCCCAGAGUGACUAGCUACUGAAUCCUUGAUGUGUCAUCAAGGAUAAGGUAAAGGAAAAUAAUGAUAUUACUUUACUAAUAGUGUCGUCCAAAUACUCGUGCCAGAAGACUCGGUAAGGCGAGAGACGCAAACGUUAUUCGUCUUGAUCAGGCGUAAAGGGUUUGUAGGCUGUUUUAAGAAUUUUAUAAUAAGUUUACUAUUAUAAACCUAUAAAAAAAGUAAUUUUACUUUCCUAAGUUCAUUUUAAUGAAUAUGGAAAUUAAGGUAAAAUUGCUUUAUAGUUUAUAAUUUUAUUAUUUAAAUCAAUUAAAGCUAGAAUCUAAUAGAGGUUAAAACAAUACUUAAGGUAGGAGUACUAACCGUAAAUAUUAAGCAGAGUUUUAAAGGCGAAGGCAUUUAACCACUAAAGAUUGACGCUGAGAAACGAAGGUGAGGGCAGAAAAAAGGAUUAGAGACCCUUGUAUUCCUCACUGUCAACGAUGAAUGGUAGUUACUAGUUAGAAAUAAACUAGAAACGAUGUUAACACGAAAACCAUUCCGCCUUGUGAGUACAACUGCAAAGUUGAAAACAAAAAAAUUAGUCGGUUUCGGAGCAAACGAAGUGAAGCAUGUUAUUUAUAUAAA